This 406-nucleotide ribosomal RNA is filed under the name uncultured bacterium. Its description in RNAcentral is "partial 16S ribosomal RNA". It matches the Rfam family "Bacterial small subunit ribosomal RNA", at positions 30 to 526 of the family's 1533-position model. The record is from RNAcentral.
AUUGAACGCUGGCGGCAGGCCUAACACAUGCAAGUCGAACGAGUGGCGGACGGGUGAGUAAUGUCUGGGAAACCGCCUGAUGGAGGGGGAUAACUACUGGAAACGGUAGCUAAUACCGCAUACCAUCGGAUGUGCCCAUAUGGGAUUAGCUAGUAGGUGGGGUAAAGUCUCACCUAGGCGACGAUCCCUCGCUGGUCUGAGAGGAUGACCAACAACACUGUAACGUAGACACGGUCCAGAUGCCUACGCGAGGAAGCAGUGUGGAACAUUGCACAAUGGUGGCAAGCCUGAUGCAGCCAUGCCGCGUGUAUGAAGAAGGCCUUCGGGUUGUAAAGUACUUUCAGCGGGGAGGCGUUACCCGCAGAAGAAGCAACGGCUAACUCCGUGCCAGCAGCCGCGGUAAUUC